GCAGAGCAUCCUACGGGAGGCAGCAGUGGGGAAUAUUGCACAAUGGGCGCAAGCCUGAUGCAGCCAUGCCGCGUGUAUGAAGAAGGCCUUCGGGUGUAAAGUACUUUCAGCAGUGAGGAAGGUGGAUAUGUUAAUAGCAUAUUCAUUUGACGUUAGCUGCAGAAGAAGCACCGGCUAACUCCGUGCCAGCAGCCGCGGUAAUACGGAGGGUGCGAGCGUUAAUCGGAAUUACUGGGCGUAAAGCGCAUGCAGGUGGUUUGUUAAGUCAGAUGUGAAAGCCCGGGGCUCAACCUCGGAAUUGCAUUUGAAACUGGCAAACUAGAGUACUGUAGAGGGGGUAGAAUUUCAGGUGUAGCGGUGAAAUGCGUAGAGAUCUGAAGGAAUACCGGUGGCGAAGGCGGCCCCCUGGACAGAUACUGACACUCAGAUGCGAAAGCGUGGGGAGCAAACAGGAUUAGAUACCCUGGUCG
This 470-nucleotide ribosomal RNA is filed under the name uncultured bacterium. Its description in RNAcentral is "bacterial SSU rRNA". It matches the Rfam family "Bacterial small subunit ribosomal RNA", at positions 329 to 793 of the family's 1533-position model. The record is from RNAcentral.